AAACAACUGCAGACACCUCCUCAGGUUAUCUGUUACCAGCGAUUUAUUCUCAUCCACAGCUGUUGAACUGACAAUACGUGAAAGGACAGUUAGCUUAAAUUGUUUGACAUGAUUGCUGUGGUCUCUAUAUUUUGUUUUCUUCACUUGCCAGAAAUGACGGGUGCAUCUGACACAAAAAGUGCCGACCAAACACCUCCAUCCAUCAUUAAGAGAAUUGGUGAAUCUGUUCAAAGUGAAAUCAAAUGUUCACACAGCAUACCAAGUUAUCAGGUCAUUCUCUGGUACAAGCAAGAUGAAAAAGGAGUCCUACAACUUCUGGGAUACCUAAAUCUGGAAUAUCCAAACAUUGAGGUUGAUGUGAAAGGGAAAAUCAGCUUUGAUGGAGAUGGCAAAAAAUAUUCAAACCUGACCAUUUCUAAUGUGUCAGUGACUGACAGUGCUGUGUAUUUCUGUGCUGCUAGUCAGCACGGUACUACAGAUUCCACUGAAGUCAAUACAAAAACCUCUCCUAAUGUCUCUGACAGAUUCAUAUCUGAACACCUGCUGCCAGUCUGCAACCAAAUCUAGACAUUGAAAAAAAUGACUGACUAACCGAUCAAGUUUGAUCCCUUUUGAAGUCACAUUUGAGGCUCAAUUUAAUCCUUAAGAUUUCCUUUAAGUGGUGAAAGCAGCAACAAAUUAAUUAUGUUCACUGAUAAAAUACUGACAUGCAAUUCCUAUAAUCAAGCUGGACCAGUUUCCUUGUCAAGAAUUUCAGGCAGGCAGAGAAAAUUUCAAAAAACAAUCCAAAAAAUACACCAUGUUCUAAAAUCCAUCUUCCUCAGUCAUCAUAUGUUGUUGUUAAUGGAAAUGAUGACCUGUGGGCGGACCAGCAGCGUCACAUAUACUUGCAUCUACAUCUGGAGUGACAAUUUCAUUGCGCAACACUCCCACCUCCAACUCUUCAUACAACUGUCUCAAACUGGUCAUGCCAAACAGAACGUGGACAUCUUCAUCAUGAGCAAACGACGUCUCCUCAUAUUUUCAUUCUUAUUGCUGUGGGUAUCAGGUCUAACUGAUGGGGGGGAAGUCAAGCAGACCGCCAUGCUGUGGAAAAACCAGGGUGAUAAUGUAUCUAUAGAAUGCAGUCAUACCUAUGGCAGUAGCUAUUACUAUAUGUACUGGUACAGACAGCUGCCUGGAGAACUAAUGAAACAAAUGGUGUUUACUAUUGCAAACUCCAAACCUGACUUUGAACCAGACUUCAGGGAUAAAAAAUUCUCAACCACCAAGCCUGACGCUGACAGUGGGACACUGAUAGUGAAGAAUUUGGUGCCAGGAGAUCAAGGCUUGUAUUUCUGUGCUGUUAGUAUGCACAGUGAUACAGCCACACUCAACACCCGUACAAAAACCUCAGAUCAUGAACUGUAGGGGGAUGUCAAGGAUCACAAAUACUCACAACUGAACAUGGAUUCAUCAUACCAAUUCAACUCAAACUGCUUAAUGUUUUGAAAGAAUUUAUUUCAACUUACAGUUAUUUUGUUCCAGGAAAUUCUGGAUUACCAAAAAUCUUUAAUGCUGUAGAAGUAGAAAUGAACAAAAUUUUAAAUUAUAACUUUUAUCGUUACAUACAGGACAAACCUAUGGAAGUGAUGUCAACCAGACCUCCAUGUUAUGGAAAAAAGAGAAUGAAGAUGCAACUAUACACUGCAGCCAUACCAAGGGCAGCAGCUAUUACCAGAUGUACUGGUACAGACAGCUGCCUGGAGAACUAAUGAAACAAAUGGUGUUUGUGUGCUGUCAGUGAGCACAGUGAUAGAGCCACACUCAACACCUUUACAAAAACUCCAGAUCAUGAACUGUAGGGGGAUGUCAAGGACCAC
Molecule: long non-coding RNA, 1862 nt
Organism: Oreochromis niloticus (Nile tilapia)
Lineage: Eukaryota; Metazoa; Chordata; Actinopteri; Cichliformes; Cichlidae
Source: Ensembl